CCGGACAUCACUGGGAAUGACUGGAUGGUGCAGACUUUGGAUCCAUGAUUACGGUGUUCUGGGAGAGAAGCAACAUUUAAAGAAGGUAAACUGGAAUUAAGAAUUGUAUGAUCCAGAGUAGGAGCCACUGCAGGAAGGACCUGAUCUUGACUUGGAGCAGGUAUGUGACCUCCUAAAGUAAGAUGAAGUACGACAGUGAGGCUUGGAUCUUAAAACAAACACAACACACACACACAAAUGGAAGUUAAUUCAAAACCAUCGUUCUCUCUAAAUUUUUUCCUCCCAAGCUUGGUUUGGGUUUUCUUCUCUUUCAGCUGCCAACAUAAUGCUGCUGCAAACUGAAGAGAUAACAUAGUUCAAUCAUUUGCUGCCCGAACAUGGACCCUGUGCUGUGCUUCCUGCUGAUCCGGGGAGUCUCUGGGACCUUCACGCCAGGGCUGGGGAUAUCCCAGAAAGGAACCACAGAUCCCAGACCAACUCGGGGCCUUGACCCUCCAUGAGAUCCAAAUCAUCUACCUGAGCAGGAUCUAUUAACCAAAUACCAGCGGUUGGUUUUGUUUGGAAUGAAACAGAAGGAUACAGCAUACUUACAGUUCACAGCUUGUUCUGGCACCUGGGCAGUGCAUGGUACUGUCUGUCCUCGGAGGACCUUUUGGAGAGGGGAGAAUCAAAAAAGCCCAUUCAGCUUAUCUGAAGAAGAUGAGAUGUGAUGUUUUCAAUUAACAACAUGGGAAUAACACUUACACUCGUCACAAUAACUGCUUCCACAGCAGGGAAGAACAGCUGCAUCAGUCAUUAUGUCUUUACAAAUGAGACAUAACAGCUCAUCUGGAACAGGACCAUCAGAAGAGGAGGAGGAUGGCUCCUCUGGUAAAGAUGGAGGCCUUUUCCUCUUUUCUCUAGCAUAAGCUUCCCUGGAGGGUGUGUGGGGAAGGAAAAAGAACAAAUUUAAAGAUGGGUAAAGGAAUACUUGUCCAAGCUUUGCGUUUUAUCAAAAGAAGAUACUAGAUGGAAUUCUUCUCACUCCACAUUACCCUUCUGAACUGUAGGCACUGAGCUGAAACUACUUCUCUAUAGCCAUAACUCUGUAAAAUAAAAACCCGGAGGGGGAGGAAAUCUCAAUCCAA
Molecule: long non-coding RNA, 1127 nt
Organism: Melopsittacus undulatus (budgerigar)
Lineage: Eukaryota; Metazoa; Chordata; Aves; Psittaciformes; Psittaculidae
Exons: 5
Source: RefSeq, a predicted model, not a curated record